Molecule: ribosomal RNA, 301 nt
Filed under: uncultured bacterium
Lineage: Bacteria
Description: partial 16S ribosomal RNA
Rfam family: Bacterial small subunit ribosomal RNA
Source: RNAcentral
CAGCAGCCGCGGUAAUACGAAGGGGGCUAGCGUUGUUCGGAUUUACUGGGCGUAAAGCGCACGUAGGCGGAUCGAUCAGUCAGGGGUGAAAUCCCAGAGCUCAACUCUGGAACUGCCUUUGAUACUGUCGAUCUGGAGUACGGAAGAGGUGAGUGGAAUUCCGAGUGUAGAGGUGAAAUUCGUAGAUAUUCGGAGGAACACCAGUGGCGAAGGCGGCUCACUGGUCCAUUACUGACGCUGAGGUGCGAAAGCGUGGGGAGCAAACAGGAUUAGAUACCCGUGUAGUCCCUGUCUCUUAUAC